UGUUGUUUGAACUCCCCUGGCGUUGUUUCACCUUAAUUCUGACAAAGGAAAUCCACAAACCUGAGUCAGUCUGACUUUGGGACGUGACAGAGGAUAGUCCUGACUCUUAAGCCUUGUUAGGUUAACAUUUGGUUUAUGCUAACAUGGGGCUGUCUGCAGCUGCAGGACCCUGUACACCCCCAAUAGUUCUAACACUACCAGUAAGAGAGAACAAGUCUAACUGUGUCCCAAAAGCCCAGGCACAGCUUCUGUGGGAACAAUGGGGCAAAGGAAUCUUCCUCACCUCCCUUCAGCCAUGGUGCGAGAGGACAAAGCCAUAAGACAUUGGGACAUUUCAACAGUGAAGCCAUCCACAGCCCAUAAAAAAGCUGUAGAAGAAGAAUCAAACUCACCCAUUUUCUGAGCUGAUUCCUUGUUCUCCAAAACCUGCUAAUCUGGUUAACCAGGCAAGGAAACAUGAGACAGCAACCCUAACCACACCAUGCAGGGAUUAGUAUGCCUGUCCCAAAAGGUGAGAGCACGAGGAGUCUCACUGUUUGCCUGCUGGCUACAAGCUGAAGAAGAUUUUGAUGGUCAUUUGUUUCAGCUGUGAUUGCAUAAAUUAAUAAACCAGCCAGGUGGUGGGAGGUCAGUAUAAAUCUAAUUGCCACCCCUGAUUUGGAUCUUCCCAACAGCCCACAAGGCAGCACCUCAGCUGUGUUCCCAUCAGUGCUUCACCACCUAACCCUAAGCCAGAGAGGAGGGGAUUUAUUGUCUUUCCCCACCUAUUGCUGAUUUGGGUUUAGUGCUUGAAAGAGGAGCUGCGGGGGGAGGGCUGGUGGCACUCAUGGUUCAACAGAGCAAAGCCAUCCCUGUCGCCUACAUGGAAGGUCACAGUCCUAAGAGUUUGUCAGCAAGGAAGUUAGUGCAUGCCUGGAAGAGCAGCGUGCCUAUAAUAGGGUGCUAAUUGACAUGCAUUAAUUUCCCAUGAGGACUCCUCCAUUCAUGGCCACGUAUUCACUUUGAAAGCGAUGCUGCUCUUACUAAUGAAGCACAAGCAAUGCAGCAAGGGGGAACUACACCCCAAAAUGGAGCUCAGGCAGAGACUCAUGGAGGGGGCUGUGAUAGCAAUGGGCUCCCCCGGGGUAAAGAGGGUCUCCAACAGCAUGUUGCCACUGCCAGCUCAAGGUGGGUGCACUGAGCCCUGUCCUUGCUCCUGUCCCUAGCCAUGGGCUUCCUCCUGCCUCUGGCCAGCACUGGACCUGCCCUGCCCGAAAACACCCUUAAGGGGUUAGUUUCCAGGCAGCUCAGUCUCUUAAGGGGAGAGCUAGUGUCAGCAAAGGAUUUGGGAACCAGAGAAGAGAAGUUGAAGGAUGGAAAUAAUAUGAAUGUAAUAACAUAAAACUGCUUCUUAAAUGUUUUCUUCUAUGGCUAAAAAAGAUGGUAUUUAACACGUUAUUGCACACGUGCAACAACACUCUAGUGAAAUCAUGUAACUUUAUUUUUCAAGAGAUCAAGACAUUUAAAGGAGUGCAAGGGACAUUUUAUUUUACCUUUGAUCCUACACCAUUUAUGACAAUGAUGGUAUUAACACUGAUAAAUUUUUGGUAUCCUGGCCAGUAAUUACCUUUCCAAUUGAAAUAUUUGCCAAGGAAUCCAGCUGCUUUUCAGGCAUCUUGGAACGAAGAUAAAUUUGCAUGCACGUUAGCAUGUUCAACAAGCUUUCUGUUCUAGCAUGAAUGAUCAGCAAUGUCAUCUUCAAGCAAUCAGGACAACAGCAUCUACUUAAUCCACUGGUGGAUGAUGUAAAAACUAAUGCUUGUGGUUGGUGAUGAAGGUCCCAAGUGCUGGGAAGCUCCAGUGGCUGAGUUUUGCAUCUCACUGGAAUUUGUGAAGGAACCAAUGAAGAGAACAGGAAUGUAUAAACUUCCUUUAAAAGUCUAAUUUUGUGGGCAAAAAAAAGAAGCCAGCCAAAGCUAACCUGGAGAUGAGGCAUCUAUGGACUGCAAGUGCUAGGUUGAUCUGGGGGAUUUUGGAGGACAAAGAUUCAUUCAGUCCUUUACUCACCCACUCCUUACCUCCAGCUCUCCACUGCUCCCAUCUGGGCAACUCUGGCAUGGGAAGCCUCCUGAAAACAGACUACGAGAUACUUGGAAACAGGAGAUGUGUAAUGGGUAAAAGGAUUAAAUUUUGCCCUUGAUUGCAUUUAUUCUUAAAAAUGUGACUUUUAUCACUUUCCCACCCUAUCUUCCCAUUCAGUCUAUUGCUAACCAAGUCCCACCAGCAGGAAACAAGAUCUUAUCACGAAAAGAAGUAGUCAUGGCUGAGUAAGACCCAUCUUGGAAAUGGGCAGAUGCAGCCAAAUCAGAAAAAAAAAAAAAAAAGUGUGUUACCAAUAGGCUCAAGACAAAAGGGUAGGUUGUGACUGCAAACUCUCCCCACAGUGGGAAGUAUUUGCAUGCAGGUAUUUCUUUGAACCAUCACACAGAUGCAGCGGCUCUGUUUAUGCCAGAGGUCUUUGAAGUCUGAAGAUCCAGACAACCUCAUUUACCAGCUUGUCUUAAAUUGAAGUGAUCUGGAACUGACUGAACCCUCAUUACAAUUUUUGGCAUCCCAUCUCUGAGACGUGUGACCUCACUCUGUUGAUGCCAUUCUUUUCUGUUGCAGGAUUUUUUCUGUGUGUGCAAAGCCCACGUCAUUUCUAAUAAGCCCAGGUGUUGUGCGCUUAUCAGUGCCAGCUUCUGCCUACUCUUUCCAGUCCCUUAUUGUGAAGCAUGACACAUAGCAUAAGGAAGAGAACAGAAAGCCAUGCCCUGCAGCACCAAGAGACAUACUCCCAGCUUUCCAGAUGAUGCUCAUCUUUCCCAUCACUUUCCAAUCCAACUUUAUUCAUUGUGUGAUAAGCAUCAUAAAAUAAAGGUAUUCCCAGACAAGUGUGUCACACAGCACUAAGAAGAGCACGUUUGCUCAAAGCCUGCAUUGGUUUGGGCAGAUUUUCUAGUCAACAGUCACCUUCAGAAAGCAAAAGCUGUUGUUGUGUUUGCCUGGUUGUUUUCAAGAGCUGAAGAAAAUGUGUUCUUUGUUCUUGCAUUUUCUUACACAUUCAUGAGGAAAUGCAACCAUUGCCCAAGGUAGGGUGAUCCCCCAGGCAAAACAACUGUUUGACAAGUUGUAAUACUGUGGGAUGUUCAAAUAUUACAGCAAACAUCAGAUAAACACCCAGAAACAGCAAACAAUGAAUGGCAGGGGGAGAGAUCAAAGCAAACCUUCACAGCACUCAGCAUGGAGACACCUGUGGUAGCUCAGCAGAAGCUGGUACAGCUCAUGGCACAGCACCGUGUGGGGACAUCAGCUCAGGUUCUGCAAGCAGGUUGAGUGGAUGCUGCUGUGCUGACCUCCAGGACCCAGAGCAAAGGGUGCUGCUUGCGUGGCAUGGGGAUGCUCACACAGCAGCCUCCCAUCUGGUUACAUCAGUGACUGGAGGUUCAGAAACCAGUGGCAGCUGCUGGUGGCCAAUGUCCAGAGCUAUGUAUGCAACAAGACAAAUGACUUUGACGUUGCUUGUCCUCAGCUGGGCAGAUUGGACAGAACCAGGCAGAAGCGAUGAGCAGAAAAAAUGAGCAACGUUGCAAAGGACAAUCAACCUGUUCCAUGGAUGCCAUGUUCCUGCUCAGCCCAAAAGGACAUGAACUGGGGUUUCUCACUCUCUAACAAACACCCUGGUUGUGGGGAUAAAAACCAUUCUGGCAAGGAGCUCUCUGCAGGGUAAUGUAUGAUAAUAAAUACAUUUUCACACAUAGGCCCUCACUCUGCUACACCAACCAAAAAGUGACUGGUUUCAGCAAGUCAGGAGACUAGGCUACAGACAUCUUGGGGCCCUUUGCAAACCUUCUGUUUAUAUGAAAUAGAAGUUUUACAACAAGAACAUGUCCCAGUAAAAAGUUUCUUAACAUAUCAGUGACAUAGAUGCAAACAAAAUCCCCCAGACAUGGUCCUUAAUCGGUCUGCCCCACAUCUUCAAACCUGGGAUAUUGUAAGUAUACCUGAUAGGGGUCAUAUACUGAUAAAUGGAUGGGGUUUGUGUGUCUUUUAGGCCUCAAGGAAUCAUCUGGGAAACCACAAGAUUUUAAUGAGCCUGCCCCAGAGACAUUAGAUUUUAUGGAAACAGAUUAAAAGAAUUUUACUUAACCAUUUAAUCAUGCAGUAUAAUGAGUAAAUAAAAAAUAAUGCCAUACAGAUAAGACAUGGGAAAUUCCAGUGCUAGUGAUAUGGAAUGUAUGGAAAUGAUAAUUAGGUGGAUACAGAAUGAAAAUAAAAACAAAAGUGAAAGAAGAAAGGCAGAUUUGUGAAACAGGGAUUAUAAGAUUAUUAGAAGACUAGGGCAGUCCCAUAUUAGAGAAAAAAGUCCUCCCUAAUGUAACUUUUUUCAAGACAGUUUUUGCCAUCUUUGAAUUUGAACUUUUGCAUGGACAUAGAGUGAAAGAUUGAGGAAUACAACUGGGAUCCAGAUCUCUGCAUUGUCUUAAUGAGGUCUUUAAAAUACCUGUAUCUCAGUUUGAGGAAAGCCAAAAUUACAUUCACUGAUGAUGUGGAAAACCAUAGUGUGAGGGUGACACAAAACAAAGACUGUGGCAAGAUGGUGCUGCCUUCUGCGAAAGGCUCUAGGGCAGAUUUGGGGGCUACAAGAGGGGACAUAUUUCUAAGAAUGACCUUGGUAAGACCAUGGGAGCAAUAUUCCUCUUCUCCGUGACAGGAUCCUCUCAAAGUCACAAUCCCAAGGAAGACCUGCUGACAAUGUGCAGACAUCUGACGUUUCUUGGGCUGUGCCUGGCUGAAAGCAAACCAAUAAUACAACUAGUGGAAAGGCUGCCCUUUCUAUUCUUUCACUUCAUUAACCAAACUGAAGGAAAUAGGAAGCAAUGUCUUUUAGAUCUAGAGAGAGAUUAAUUUUCACUUCAACAGAGUGUUUUAACACUGUCUUUUUUAAGUUUUGACCGAUUGUGAAGUGGAACAAUUCUUUCUUGAAAUAGUCUCCACAACACUACCUUCUCAGCUGUCCAUUCUCAUGCCACUCUAGUGUACACCAGCUCUACAUUUCUUCAUGAAUGGAAAACACAUUUCUCCCCUGGGACUUUUACCUGAUGCCCAUGACUAUUCAUGUACUGGAAAGUCUUCAGCAAGCAGUGCGGAGCUCUGAGCAAGCUCUCUGAAAAGCAGAAUAUAUCAGGGUUUCUAUAACUACUUAAGAAGCCCUCUGGGCCCCCAUGGUGGAAAGGCAGAGCCCAUCCAGGUCUGUCUCCUAGUGACAUGGAACCAAGCCCUAGAAGUGUGUAGAGUAAAGGUAAACAAUGAAAAACAUAAUAAAAGGGGUUCGGCUUCUGUCUCCAGCCUGGGGAUGCAGACACUUAAGAGAAAGGAAUUACAUGGGCUGGGCAAAGGGGAUAGGUUUAUUAUCCCUCUUCUCUUGCAAAAGGAAAUGUUCACUGGGGGAAAAGAUGAGCUUCAGCAGGGCAGUCACACACUGCCUCAGGAGAUGACAGCCCUUUGGGAGCUGUGGCCAUGGACAGAGUGUUAGAAAUUAUCAUCAUGACCCUCUUGCUGUGCAGAUCAGGAGCAGGAUCAGUGCAGACCAGCCAGCCAAAGACAGGCCAUUGAGUGGCCCAACACUGCAGAUCCAGUAGUCCAGUAGUUGAGCUUGUGUUGUGGGGCACAGCUCAGGUCAUCAGCCCAAGGAGCAAUUUCUGAGGAAUUGUCUCUGAUUAGACUGAACACUGAGAAAUGCUGCUUCUCUCAUUCCCACUUGCCUGCCUGACUCAGACACGGGAGUUCGCUUUAAUACAAGUGGACAAAAAGCUCAGAAAAUUCUGGCACGAAGCACCACCAUUUUGUGAUCUGUUAAUUACGGACGCAUCUGAACUUUGAAGGAGUAGUCUGAAUACAGCUGCAUCCUUAGAAAAAAGCAUCAGUAGUGAAAAAUUCACACAUGCAGCUCCAUGUGCAGAGGCAAAAGAGGCUGCAUAUAAAGAUGAAAGUGAAGAGGAAGCUGGGGCUUUGAGAAAAACUUACGCACUCUUCCUAUUAGGCAUCCCAAGACCAAAUGGAGAAAUAGAUGAAGCAUAUACUCUGCAUACCCCAGCAAUGGGAUCUGGACUUCCCUGUCAGUUUUGUGGCUGAAGACCAAGAGAGGUGCUCAGUUUGGGGGCAGCACAGUGACAGAGAUGUUAUGGGAACUUGAACACAGUUGUUGAGAUAGGGCUCAAUUCUGCUGCAUGCUCCCUUUGAGAUGCUAUGCUAAGCUGCUGUUACAGGCUUGCUGCAGUUCCUGCAUCAGGUCUGACAGCAACAUGAGGAUUUUUCAGAUACUGUGGGGCAUUUCAAAUGGCAGCUAAAUGCAUGAGUCUUAGCCUGCAAGAUGAAUCCCAUCUGAGGAGCCUGUGCAUUGCAUUAUCCCUGGAGGCCCUACAAUGUUCCCCACAUCAGGUGUUCCGAAGUUAUUAAACCCACAGAUUCACAAGAUGUUCUGAUAGUGCUUUGCCUUAUACAGUCCCUAGGGAAACAAAACUGCAACAAGAUCCAGUUAUGCCAGCACUGUAUGCAUGCACAGAGAGCGGCAACACCAGUUCCUAAAUGCUUUAGUGAAGAGACCUGAACACAGAGAGCUAAGUCACUUGCUCAUGGUCUCAUAGACAGCAUAAAUGCCCUGCCAAAAGCAAUCCUGCAAAGGACCUCUGCCUGUACUUAUAUUAUUCAGUCCCCAUGACAAUCCCAUUGCGGCGACAACCCCAUGUGGCAGGGUUAGAGGCAGCAAGAAGUCUCUCCUGCUCUGAAAGCAAUGCACAAGUGAGCCAAGACACACGGCAUCACGAUAGGGUUGCUCCAGCUAAUCUGAUAUAAACACAACUCUUGUUAUACCACCUGUUGCUAAGGGAAUAGCUUUUGUGUUUCACAUGGGUUUGCACCCAUCAAGGCCUGCUAUUUAUGAACCAGGCAGAAAAGAGCUGUUGGAAUACGGGUCUUGACCUGCCUUUUGUCUGUGCCAAGGAAUAGAUAUUUCCUGCCAUACUGGCCUGUCAGAGCUAAGUUGUUCUUGAGGAUGGAGCUGGGUAAGCAGAAAGCCAGUGCCCUCUCCAUAUGCACCCAAGGGUUCAAGAGGACUCCUAGUACCAGAAAAAGAAGCUGUAGCCACAUGAAGCAAAGCUCUGGUGCAGCAGAAGUUGACACUGCUGGCAGAAAUUUAUUCCAAUGGUUACCUCUGACCUGGCAGGCUUUGUUCUGGAACAGACCCAGCACGGUCUGUACGACGCUGUCUCUAGCUCAAAUCAGAUGUCAUCUGACUGCACUAUGCCCACAUAGUAUCACACCAUGGCAGUUAAGCCAAGAUCACCACUUCCUUCUCCCAUAUUGUCUGCUCUGUGUGCCCUCCUCAAUCUCCUUCUACUUCCUCCUCUUUCUUCUCCCUUGUGCCGCUCCCAGUGCUCUUGUGCUCCCCUGGCAAGGCAGUUCAGGGAGCAGAUCCAUCUAACACUCACCCAGCAACGAAGAGGGCAACGUGGUCAGGCCAUGUGACCGAGAGGACAAGGUGGCAGCAGCCCAUGUUUGACUUGGCUGAUGCUGGCAGGGAACCGUGCACUAACUCUGUCCUCAGCAUAGUGCGUGUGCUGGGUCAGGCAUACAUAAAAUCAUAUAUGCUGCCUCAAGUCUGUAUUAUGCAUCCUGGCUAAUUGAAUUUAAAUUUAUUCAGAACUCAAACCUGUUUUGGUUCAAAUCCACGUUGUGACAUGACCCGGCAGCAUAUAGACCUGGUACUGAGGGUUAUGGAAGUACAAACCCCAUCUCCAUCAUUCAUGCAGUCCCUGGCUUUUUUGCUGGGACCUCUUGCAGGGUCCCAGGUUCAACUUUUGGGAUGUGGCCAUACCUCCAUCAUGGACAGAACAACUCAGUGGCCCUCCUGCAAGGGAAGCUAAGAAAUUAAUUCUUUAUCACAUGGGGCUGAACUGAGGUCUCUCAAUACUUGGAAACUCAGAUGUGUCAUAGGACUCUUACAACAUCCCCAUUCCAGGAACGAACCAGUGAUUCUGAUUUCCUAGACAUUCCUAUGCCCCAAGUUGUCCAGGGUUUGGCUUCCUAUAUAUUGAAGGCAAAGAACAUGAUACUUAAGCUUGUCACCAACAAUACAAUGUGCAUAUAACACAGGAUCCACUCCUGUGCUGGGCUGGCUGGGCUGACAUUCACACCAAGAAGAAAAAGGCUCCCUUCUCCUUUUGGUCACCACUAUGGACUCAUAGUGUCACGGCCAAAGAAAACUGGUUCUUCCUCUUACAGACUGCAGACAGAGGAACUGGUUUCCACAAGGGAGGGUGAAGAAAAUCUGCAUAAAACCAAAGCCAGGAUUAAAACACAGUAAUUCUGGACAAUAGGCCAGUGCCAACUGAUCCAAAAUGCCCUUGGCCCCAAAGGAAAUGGCUGUCUAAUUAACAUCACUAGAGGGAAGGCAUGUGCAUGGCUCAUAUGUGCUCUCUGCCAAGGUUACAGUUGGCAAGAGCACACUUUGCCAAGAGCAGCCUGCAGAUAAAGACCCAUGUUUUCCACAGCCUAGAAUCACAUGUCUCUCCUCAUUUCAGAGAUACAUCCACCACCAGCGGGCUGCUCCUGCCAUUUUGAGAGUCCCUGCCUAGGCACACUAACCUCUCCAGAGUUAGCCUCUGCUUCCACUAGAAAAGACAGAUGAGUUCCUUAUGCAAUAUUUAACAAGACCUCAAAGCCAGAGACGCUUUUGUCCCCAUUUCAGCCUAAAGCAUGGGUGCAAGACUCAACUAGCCCAGAACUUUAACAAGGCAUCACCAAAAUGAAUCAUUACUACCAAGUUAUGUGAUUACUUAACAUUCUGUAUGCAUAACUGGAUGAAACCAGCUCUCUCCCCUCUCUUCUUUCUCCUUUGUCGAAUCUCCCCAAUUAUCUUCAUCUGUUGAAGCCAAGAUCCUUUCAGUACCUCCAGCUUGCCAGGGACAGCUGCCCCAGCUUGCUAGCUGAAUUAUAACACACCCUCCAAAUAAGACUCUGGCUCAGAAAUCACUUGAGUGAGAAUAUCCCUUAAGUGCAUAACAAGGAAAGCACAGUUGGAUGAGUAAUUGAUUCAAUUUGGAUUGAAAUGGAAAAAUAUAGUCGGGUCCUACUCUCCGUUUUCUCCUCCAGUACUUGCACAGACUGCAGUAGAUCUGUUCUCAGGACUCAGAGAUGAGUUGAAGGUUCUGAGCUAGCUUUCUUGCAGAGGUUGCCUGGCUCAGGGUCACCACGUGGAUUCACAACCAGCUAUUCUCUUAUUGCUAACAGAGCCCGGAGAGGGAACCUCAGGAUCUGCACAGGUGGAAAGGAGGUAGUUCUGCUUCGGAGCUUAUCUGAAGGGCUGUUUUGCAGUGGGCUGAUGCUUAGACUUUCAGGACUUGACUGUAAGCUGUAAGGUUGGGAAUAGCCCCAAGGCACAGCUUAUACACGAUUUUUGGAAAGGAGAGGGGGUUCCUGUUAGCUGGUGAAAGGAAUGGCCAGCAGGGAGCCAGGUACCUCCAAGGGCACAAAACAGGAGGAUGUCAGCACUGCAAGAAAGUUGAGGAGAUCUGCAAUUCUUUAUUGGAGACAAAUUGUAGUGGUGCAAUUCUUCACACCAAAGAUAAGGGAAGGUAAGCUGCAUCCCUCUGUGCCUCCAUGCAGCACCCAGACUAGGUAAAAACAAAGAUGGGAACCCAGUAUGGAGUGGUUGUCACUGUCCUCUUGUCCUGCUUUGACCUAUCUGGGACUGUAAGAUCUCUGACAGAUCUUUCACUAAAUGCACGUGCAGCACCUGGCACAGAGGAACCCGGAGUCUAGCAAGGCUGCCAAUCUAUUGAGAAAAAUAAUAAACUUAGUAGAUACAAUCUCAAAGAAUGCAGAGCAGAGAGCGCAAGCCUCUGCCAGGGCAGGGACCUUUCCUUAUGCACUUCAAGGGAGACCUUCAGCAAAACCAACCCAUUGCUUAAUGUGUGGGGAUGAAGGACUGUAGAGGAAUAUGCAAUACAGGAGCAAGUAUCAGCUUAGCCAUGUCUAAGACAGGACAGAUCUUCUUGUCCCUCUGACAUGCCUAUCUCCAGCUAUCCUAGCAGUAUUUCUGUUUUUCCUCUGCAGAUAACAUGUUUGAGUAUUUUAAGAUGCACUUAGGAUUUAAGUGGUGUCAGCUCUGUAAUACAGAGAGUCUGCACCAAUAGCCACAUUACAAAAGAAGGAGUUGUAUGCUCACAUUAUUGCUGCUUUCCCACCAGUGGUGGCAAGUAGAAUACCUUCCUUUCUCCCUAGGAGGGACAGCAAGCACAUGGAAACAAAAGCCCACGGUCCCUGUAACACCUACCAACAAGGUCUAGAGAGAACACAGGUGUCUCCUUCAGAAGGUUUGUGAAGAGUUUUGCAGAAAGAAUUGUGCAUCCUCAUGGCACCAUCCAUGAUGUAAUCCUUCAUGACAUCGCCCUUCUAGAAGAAGUACAACCCAAGGUUUCUUUCCAGAUGUUCAGGCUGGCACAGCUCAAAGCAGGAAAUUGGCUCAGGACUUCCUGGGGCAGGGGAGGAGGGCUUUUCCCCAAACAUUGAUUCUCAGUGGAUUUCCAUCUCUGCUUCUUAAGCUUCUUUCUGUGCACUCUUGAUUCCCACCGCUCAUCUACCCCGGGGGCAUUCACUUGAGAGUGUUGCCACUCUAUUAAAUGUGAAUUGAAUUAGGCAGGAGGCAAUUAUCUGUGCUGGAACUU
This is a long non-coding RNA of Aquila chrysaetos chrysaetos, 10745 nucleotides long. RefSeq lists it as uncharacterized. The transcript is spliced from 3 exons. The record is from RefSeq and is a predicted model, not a curated record. Lineage: Eukaryota; Metazoa; Chordata; Aves; Accipitriformes; Accipitridae.